AAAAAACUCGUUCCAAGUCGAGCAAUUAUUUAAGAAGCCAAUAACCUAUUACUUCUAGUUCUCAGACCAUUAUCCUUCCUUCAUCUUUAGCAGUUUCUGCUCGUAGAAUGUUAAUACUAGCUGGGACAGAACAUUAGCCAAUCCCCUUCAGCAACAAUCAAUCAACCAUGCCACUUAACUGCCGCUUUUUUCUUUUCUUUUUUUUUUC
This 208-nucleotide unclassified non-coding RNA is filed under the name Hevea brasiliensis (rubber tree). Lineage: Eukaryota; Viridiplantae; Streptophyta; Magnoliopsida; Malpighiales; Euphorbiaceae. The record is from RNAcentral.